Molecule: long non-coding RNA, 709 nt
Filed under: Helianthus annuus (common sunflower)
Lineage: Eukaryota; Viridiplantae; Streptophyta; Magnoliopsida; Asterales; Asteraceae
Description: sRNA HanXRQr2_Chr12g0552421
Source: RNAcentral
UAUUGGUGUCAAAACAGAGUGUUACACUAAACGAAAGGAUGUUACACGAAAUAAAGUAUUGUACCACAAGACGUUAAAAUUUUCACACACCAGUAAUACCGUAACAUCCCAAUAAGAUACGCACACUUGACGAUACAAACAUUGACACUAAGUUUUUUAUCCAACAUCUGACGUGAGACGUGAACCAAGUUACUCUCUCUUGGAACAAAGUUACCACCUGCAGGCCGCAACUAAUAAAAUGUAUGGUCGCCUUGCCCUUUACCAUGUUGUGCUUUGGUCAUUUAAGGAUCCAUUUUUUCCGUAAAAGACCUAAUAACCUUUGUUACUUGGCACCAAUAAGUUUAUUGUAAAUAUCAUCAGUACAAUAAAUGAAGGAUGGGCAAUAUCAUCCGUAUAAAUUAUACACACUUUGAGCUAUAUUCAAUCCCACCCCCAUAUGUCAAUGAUGACCAAUCAACACAUGCCAUAAUAAACUCCUCUUUGAGCUAUUGUAACAUCUAAUCUGUUUUUUUUAAACAGCGGAACUUUUCAAUUUACUCAUAUGACCCGUUAAGGAUAACAUAACCUAAAUUAAUAAGUCCACAGGUAAAUGCAUCAAAACUUUUAAAAUAUUUAAUCUACCCAUUAUUGUUCCAUUAGUUUAGUCAAGAUACAUUCUGUUAAUCAAUCCACACAUAAGACCAUGUGUACUCGUGAGCAAGGUUAAUCU